This 466-nucleotide ribosomal RNA is filed under the name uncultured bacterium. Its description in RNAcentral is "partial 16S ribosomal RNA". It matches the Rfam family "Bacterial small subunit ribosomal RNA", at positions 28 to 507 of the family's 1533-position model. The record is from RNAcentral.
GAUGAACGCUGGCGGCGUGCUUAACACAUGCAAGUCGAACGGAAAGGCUCCUGCUUGCAGGGGUACUCGAGUGGCGAACGGGUGAGUAACACGUGGGUGAUCUGCCCUGCACUUCGGGAUAAGCCUGGGAAACUGGGUCUAAUACCGGAUAGGACGAUGGUUUGGAUGCCAUUGUGGAAAGUUUUUUCGGUGUGGGAUGAGCUCGCGGCCUAUCAGCUUGUUGGUGGGGUAAUGGCCUACCAAGGCGUCGACGGGUAGCCGGCCUGAGAGGGUGUACGUCCACAUUGGGACUGAGAUGCGGCCCAGACUCCUACGGGAGGCAGCAGUGGGGAAUAUUGCACAAUGGGCGCAAGCCUGAUGCAGCGACGCCGCGUGGGGGAUGACGGCCUUCGGGUUGUAAACUCCUUUCGCUAGGGACGAAGCGCAAGUGACGGUACCUGGAGAAGAAGCACCGGCUAACUACGUG